Diceros bicornis minor is the source of this 1814-nucleotide long non-coding RNA. RefSeq lists it as uncharacterized. The record is from RefSeq and is a predicted model, not a curated record. Lineage: Eukaryota; Metazoa; Chordata; Mammalia; Perissodactyla; Rhinocerotidae. The transcript has 4 exons.
GUUUUUGUUUUUUCCAUUUCUUGAUACUUGCCCUUGGUGUGUGGGCUUCUUAAGCAGGCCUGUCAUCCUAUCCCGAGAUUUUGAUAUUUUGUUUGGGCCUAUAUUUCCUCUGUAAAGGCCUAGAGAGGAGAGAGUGAUACAGUGGAAAGAGGAUGAGAUUUAGAUUCAGAUGGGUGGAUUUGAAUCCCACCUUCACCACUUAACGCAAAAAUUUGGCGUAUUAACCUUCCUUUGCUUCAUUUUAAUCUUCAUAUGCUUCAUUUUUUUAAUGUCUUAAAUGAGGAUAAUAAUAUUUAAUAAUACCUGCCUCACUGGGUUGUUGUGGUAAUUCAAUAAGGUAAUACAUCACCUUAGUACAGGUGUAGAAGGUGCUUGAUACGGGUUAGUUUCCUUUCCUAACAGUGCGUGAUAGUUAUGUAUGUUGAAUGAAUACGUUUACAAUAACAAGGUGAUAAGAGCUGGGAAAGGUAAACAGAUUCAAAAUAAAGUUAUUUUAAAAUAAGAGCUAUAUUAGAUGGGGGAGAAAAAGAACAGGUUCUGGAAUUGGGGGACAUUUUAAUUGGAGACAAUGCCUUUGAGAUCCAGCCAUGGUGGGGGAAGGACAGAGAACUAUCCUGUGUAGUUCUUGGUAUUGAGGCUAAAGGAAUCACAGUGACCUUUUUGAAGCAGGAACUCAUCAGUUAUCCCUGGGGCUGUCACUGCUCUGACCAGAUGUCCUCCUGGUGCCACCAUCCGAGGUUACUGGCUGUGUGGGGUCCCACUUGGUUAACUCUGACUCUCAGUGGAUCCAGUGCUAGUUUUUUGACUAUUCCUCUGGCCUUUCAGACUGUGCUUUUUGCCUGAUCCCAUUAGCCCCCUUUGAACCUUUUUGAACUGAUUUUGAACUCAGUUCUUUUCUUAACUUGGCUGACCGUGGUCUCUGGUCUCUCUGUCUUUCUCCGUUCAAUCCACCCUGACUUGGCCAGUGUUAUUCUUAACUAUCCUGUUCCAUUAUGAUGAAUAUAUUUUUCUUUUCUCAUCCUUGAUUUCCCUUUAUUUCUUUUCUCAACCUUUGCACAUUGGCACUAGUCUAACUUUAAUGCUGUUCAAGGUGUAAAUACUGAUUGCCUCAUUCAUUGUUUUUUGUUCAUUUACUCAAUAUGCAGUUUUAGAAACCAGAUAUACAAAGACCAAGUCUCUGGCCCCAAGGAGCUCUCCAUCUAAUCGAGGAGAGAAACAGAUAGCAAAUCACGAUAGCAGAGCCUGAUAAGUGUUAUGUUGAGAUCUACACAAAGUGUGGUGGAAGCCUGAAGCAGAGAGCCCUGCUCGGGCAAGGAGAGAAGCCUGAAUGGAUAAGCUGUACAAUAUUCUGUUGAAUGGAUGUGGAAUUGCUGGGUCAAAUGGCAUGUGCAUUCGUAAUUGUGGAAGAUACUGACAAAUCAUUCUCCAUGGAGGUCAUUUUUACCAAGUAACAGCAAUGGGCUCAGGUAACUAAUACAUGGAGAAAGUGGGAGAGGAGAAAAGGAAGAAGCACACAUCACAACCUUGGGAAAUACGUGGAGAUGAUGACAGAUCCACAAGGUGUAAGGAUCCUUUCUGACUCACCAAUUGGUGGCUAGCUGCUUGCUAGUCAGGAACGCCUGCUCUGAACAAGAGGAGAAAUUUUUAUUAUGUUAAAGAAAAUACUGUAGUAUAAUUUAAAACAGUCUAACAAAAUCCAAAAUAUCAAUCAUUGUUUAUUUUGUCCUGGGUUUGACUGUAGUGUGUGAGCAAAUGUGUGCUGACUCAUAUUUGAGAGCCAGAAGAUCAAGAAGACAUCAGAAUAAAGUAAGCUG